UACUCUUGAACAAAUGAAUAAGUUAGAACAGAUUCAAUUACAAGCAGCGAGAAUAGUUACUGGUUUACCAAAAUAUACAUCACGUGAAUUUCUUUAUUUUGAAACUGAAUGGGAAACAUUACAAGAUCGUCGUAGAAAACGAAAACUAUGUUUGAUGUAUAAAAUUAAAAAUGAAAUGGCUCCUCCAUACCUAAAAGAACUGCUUCCCUUGAAUGUUAGUUCUAAAUCAAAGUAUAAUCUACGCAGUUCUCUCAAUAUAUCGAUUCCUAUUCCAAGACUUAAACACUCAAAAGAAUCCUUCUUUCCAUCUACAAUAUGCUCUUGGAACAAUUUACCAGCCACCGUUCGAAAUUCAAAAAGUGUUUCUACUUUUAAAUCAUGUAUAACUGAUAACCAUGCAUAUGCACCUCAGUAUUAUUCGUGUGGUAAAAGAAAAUUAAAUAUUAUUCAUACCAAGUUGCUUUAUUCUGCUAGUUGUUUGAACUUUGAUUUGUACAGAGUUGGAAU
Molecule: long non-coding RNA, 507 nt
Organism: Haliotis rubra (blacklip abalone)
Lineage: Eukaryota; Metazoa; Mollusca; Gastropoda; Lepetellida; Haliotidae
Exons: 2
Source: RefSeq, a predicted model, not a curated record